UACAGAGGGGGCAAGCGUUGUUCGGAAUUACUGGGCGUAAAGGGCGCGUAGGCGGCCUGUUAAGUCGAACGUGAAAUCCCUGGGCUCAACCCAGGAACUGCGUCCGAUACUGGCAGGCUUGAAUUCGGGAGAGGGAUGCGGAAUUCCAGGUGUAGCGGUGAAAUGCGCAGAUAUCAGGAGGAACACCGGUGGCGAAGGCGGGUCUCUGGGCCGAUAUUGACGCUGAGGAGCGAAAGCGUGGGGAGCGAACAGG
Molecule: ribosomal RNA, 253 nt
Filed under: uncultured bacterium
Lineage: Bacteria
Description: partial 16S ribosomal RNA
Rfam family: Bacterial small subunit ribosomal RNA
Source: RNAcentral